RNAcentral lists this ribosomal RNA (465 nucleotides) under uncultured bacterium. RNAcentral describes it as "partial 16S ribosomal RNA". It matches the Rfam family "Bacterial small subunit ribosomal RNA", at positions 28 to 507 of the family's 1533-position model. The record is from RNAcentral.
GACGAACGCUGGCGGCGUGCUUAACACAUGCGAGUCGAACGGAAAGGCCCCUUUGGGGGUACUCGAGUGGCGAACUGGUGAGUAACACGUGAGUAACCUGCCCUUGACUUCGGGAUAACUUCAGGAAACUGGGGCUAAUACCGGAUAGGAAUCCUUGCUGCAUGGUGGGGGUUGGAAAGCUUCGGCGGUUUUGGAUGGACUCGCGGCUUAUCAGCUUGUUGGUGGGGUAGUGGCUUACCAAGGCUUUGACGGGUAGCCGGCCUGAGAGGGCGACCGGCCACAUUGGGACUGAGAUACGGCCCAGACUCCUACGGGAGGCAGCAGUGGGGAAUAUUGCACAAUGGGCGGAAGCCUGAUGCAGCAACGCCGCGUGCGGGAUGACGGCCUUCGGGUUGUAAACCGCUUUCAGCAGGGGCGAAGCUUGUGGUGACGGUACCUGCAGAAGAAGCACCGGCUAACUACGUG